Molecule: ribosomal RNA, 253 nt
Filed under: uncultured bacterium
Lineage: Bacteria
Description: partial 16S ribosomal RNA
Rfam family: Bacterial small subunit ribosomal RNA
Source: RNAcentral
UACGAAGGGGGCUAGCGUUGUUUGGAAUUACUGGGCGUAAAGCGCACGUAGGCGGGUUGUUAAGUCAGGGGUGAAAUCCCGGAGCUCAACUCCGGAACUGCCUUUGAUACUGGCAACCUAGAGUUCGGAAGAGGUGAGUGGAAUUCCCAGUGUAGAGGUGAAAUUCGUAGAUAUUGGGAAGAACACCAGUGGCGAAGGCGGCUCACUGGUCCGAUACUGACGCUGAGGUGCGAAAGCGUGGGGAGCAAACAGG